This is a long non-coding RNA of Actinia tenebrosa (Australian red waratah sea anemone), 835 nucleotides long. RefSeq lists it as uncharacterized. The record is from RefSeq and is a predicted model, not a curated record. NCBI's taxonomy places the organism in Eukaryota, Metazoa, Cnidaria, Anthozoa, Actiniaria, Actiniidae.
AAUACGGGUAUGUGCCGCUGGAUAAGGUAUGGUUUUUGGCCUUGCUACCUUACACAGGGUAUACCGCCGGAAAUUCUUUUAAACAGGAUCUAUAAUUUUGACACAAGAUCCAUCCAGUGUUGGAUCAAGGUAUAAGCGAAAGCACGUGACCCCAGAAGAAGCAUUUCAUUGGACCAUAAAGUCAUGCAUUAUCAAUGAGGUUGAGAGCUUUAUUUGCAACAAGACUUUCAAAAGACAUUAUGAGGACAAAACAAUGAAAAAAGGAGGUUUGGAAAUGUGAUCUAAAUAAGCAUGCAUUUUUGGCAUCUUAUGCUUUGAAUUUUCUCCAAGAAUUAUUAAUAGUUUGAGAAGCAAUAUCAAGCACCUCGAAGUUGUUAAGCUCUUAAGAAAUGAAGAUUUUGGCUCCGCCUUAAUUUUUCGACUUACUUUUCGGUGUUUGGAUCGGAAAUUGCUUAGAUGAAGCUGACUCUUUCACUUGUUUGAUAUAUUACAUCGCAUGUCUAGACAACUGAAUGAGGCUAAAGUCACGUUUACAGGCAGAUCUCAUUAAACAUCUAAUUAGAUUGAUAUUCAUUUUCAUCUAUGUCACUUUUUCAGCUGUUCAUUUACCACGACAUUUACUACUACUAUGUAGGUCUACGCCGUUGAGCCCCUCAUUUGAAGCUACCAUUAAGCUUUUCAUAUCGUUAAUAUAUUCUUUCUCUCGUUCAGUUUGCAUAUCCUAUAGAGAAACUUAGGUGUCAAGUGGUGGGGGUUUUGAAGCCCAGGGAAAUAGUGGUGUUAAGAGAUUAGUAUUCAUAGUGACUCUCUAUAUAAAGCAUACUAUGAGGCCUUA